ACCCAGGGAUAGCUUAGUUGGUAGAGCAUGAGACUCUUAAUCUCAGGGAUCUAGGAUCGAGCCCCACAUUGGGCA
This is a non-coding RNA of Podarcis lilfordi (Lilford's wall lizard), 75 nucleotides long. The record is from the annotation of a GenBank genome assembly. NCBI's taxonomy places the organism in Eukaryota, Metazoa, Chordata, Lepidosauria, Squamata, Lacertidae.